RNAcentral lists this ribosomal RNA (536 nucleotides) under uncultured bacterium. RNAcentral describes it as "bacterial SSU rRNA". It matches the Rfam family "Bacterial small subunit ribosomal RNA", at positions 974 to 1509 of the family's 1533-position model. The record is from RNAcentral.
CCUGGUCUUGACAUAGUAAGAACUUUCCAGAGAUGGAUUGGUGCCUUCGGGAACUUACAUACAGGUGCUGCAUGGCUGUCGUCAGCUCGGUGUCGUGAGAUGUUGGGUUAAGUCCCGCAACGAGCGCAACCCUUUUCCUUAUUGCCAGCGGGUUAAGCCGGGAACUUUAAGGAUACUGCCAGUGACAAACUGGAGGAAGGCGGGGACGACGUCAAGUCAUCAUGGCCCUUACGACCAGGGCUACACACGUGCUACAAUGGUCGGUACAAAGGGUUGCUACCUCGCGAGAGGAUGCUAAUCUCAAAAAGCCGAUCGUAGUCCGGAUUGGAGUCUGCAACUCGACUCCAUGAAGUCGGAAUCGCUAGUAAUCGCGGAUCAGAAUGCCGCGGUGAAUACGUUCCCGGGCCUUGUACACACCGCCCGUCACACCAUGGGAGUUUGUUGCACCAGAAGUAGGUAGUCUAACCGCAAGGAGGACGCUUACCACGGUGUGGCAGAUGACUGGGGUGAAGUCGUAACAAGGUAGGCGUAGAUGA